This 274-nucleotide ribosomal RNA is filed under the name uncultured bacterium. RNAcentral describes it as "partial 16S ribosomal RNA". It matches the Rfam family "Bacterial small subunit ribosomal RNA", at positions 523 to 796 of the family's 1533-position model. The record is from RNAcentral.
AUACUUAGGGUGCAAGCGUUAAUCGGAAUUACUGGGCGUAAAGCGCUCGUAGGCGGCUUGUUAAGUCGGAUGUGAAAUCCCCGGGCUCAACCUGGGAACUGCAUUCGAUACUGGCAAGCUAGAGUAUAGUAGAGGCAAGUGGAAUUCCGGGUGUAGCGGUGAAAUGCGUAGAUAUCCGGAGGCACAUCAGUGGCGAAGGCGACUUGCUGGACUAAUACUGACGCUGAGGAGCGAAAGCGUGGGGAGCAAACGGGAUUAGAUACCCCAGUAGUCC